Molecule: long non-coding RNA, 1113 nt
Filed under: Panax ginseng (ginseng)
Lineage: Eukaryota; Viridiplantae; Streptophyta; Magnoliopsida; Apiales; Araliaceae
Description: long non-coding RNA (PGIN_LNC002024)
Source: RNAcentral
UCCGUUGAGGAUUCCGUCAUUUGGUGAUUUUAUCAUACUACAUCAUACCAUAGUGGGUUGACGAUCCUGAGAUCACAUCCAACACUAAGUAAUACUGCAUUGAUGACUCCAUCUUUUUUUUAUCAUCUCUGCACCAGGUUGCAUGGUACAUAAGUGAUAAAUAAAAACAACUUUUGAUACUUCAAAUCAUUCGCGUCUAGCCGAAAUAAGUAGCAUAGACUGUACUUUAAAUCGUUUCAAAAAUCUUUGCAAAUCAGUUUUAUCAUCUCAACAGGUAACGAGGUGUCGAUGGCCCGAAGUCCACGCAUACACAAUAAUCACCAGGAGUUGAGAAUAAAAAUUCAUUUUUCAAAAGCACAUAGUGCGUAUUUAGCUUGAUGUCAAAAACUUCGAAGUCUAGCAUAGCUAGAAGAUUUGGAAUACCUAUGCUUCCAUCAUCAACUUCACUUUUUCUACUGAUCCAUUACUUAAUAGAUCUAUCUAUUCUUAUAAUCCUCAAUGCUCCAUUCACCACUUUGCUAUACCCCAGUUCAUCAAACUUACCACACAUUAUGAGUUCAGGAACUUGCCACAAUCAUAUGAGUUUAAGAACUUAUCCUAGUCAGACCAUAGGCGUCCAUUCGCUGAGGGGUUCAAAACAUACCAUAUGAUUAUGAGUCAUGAACUUACCAUAAGUAUGAGUUUUAAGAACUCACAACUUAACCUUAUAUCCUCUACCUAUUCGUUAUACACAUGAGAAAAGAAUCACCUUCUCAACAUGCAUAUAACAAAUAGCGCGACAUUAGGUUCCAAUGAUUAUCAUUACCAGAAACUAAGUGGUUGUCAAACCAAACUCGGCUACUAAUCAAUAUAGGAAGCUAAGCGGACAAUUCUAUGCCCAUACAAAGAAUUUGUCAACCUAACCACUAUAUCAACCAGGAAGCUAAGUGAUUCUAAAACCAAGUACAAAUUCCCCGCCCAUACAAGGAAUCAUACAACUCAGCUGCUGACCUGAGUCCUCAAUUGAAAACCAUAUAGGUUUUACUUGAAAAAUUUUAAAUAAAUCCUCAAAUUCUCAUCUAGGUUUUAUUCUUUAACCUUUAUUCUAAUCAUUCAAGAUUUUAGAAAUUUUCG